This 33-nucleotide non-coding RNA is filed under the name unclassified sequences. RNAcentral describes it as "L31-Coriobacteria ribosomal protein leader". It matches the Rfam family "L31-Coriobacteria ribosomal protein leader". The record is from RNAcentral.
GUCCUGGUCGGAAACCAGGACACGAAGAAGGAG